AUGGAUGACUUCUUUAAUAGUAACAUCGCACCAAGGCAUCUUUCUCCACGCCAGUGCCGCCGCUGCCCGAGCGGCACCGCGUUCGCAUCUCCAAAUGCUGUAACAGGGACACUCACCUCGCAGGUCAGGGGCUUUUGGCCAUCCCUCUCCACUUCAGGAUGCUCUCGUCCAGGGGCACCAGGUCAACCAGGACAGCCGCGAGGGGCACACAAACCCCCAGCUGGCCCUGGGGAGUCUUCACUGCAGGAUUUGACGUCUAAAAGGAUGGGGACUUGGACCUCGGGCACAGGUGAGCUCUAAGGCCCCCGAAAGAAAUCAUUCGGUCAGGCCCUGCCAGGGCAUCAAGGCAGGCGAAUUUUCAAAAUGAUCAUUUUGUUUGGCCCACGAAUGAUGCGAUCAACAUUCACACGGCUCCCCAUUCCAACACAGGCCAGGUGCCCAGCCAUUCUUUCUGCAGGGGAGGGGAGGGAGCUGCCACCCAGCUUUAUCAAGGUCCUGUGACGCCUAAACCCAGCUUCUCCUUUCGACCCUUCACAGAGGCCGGGUGUGGGUGGUCACCUAAUCGCCUCGCUCAUAACUUUUUGAGGGAGGUAGUGGCAAAACUGUAGCUGGAUGCCUCCCCGUCGGGGAAUCGAACCCCGGUCUCCCGCGUGACAGGCGGGGAUACUCACCACUAUACUAACGAGGAAUGCCCUGCUGCAGGCCUCUGCUUAUCUCUAAUAAUAGUUUCGGUCCUCAGUCCUCAGCGGCCCACCCCAGCCAAUUCAUCCACCCGAGGUCUCCCUGCUCCUCGGCCUAGCAGCGCAGGUUUGUGGCGAGACCCCUGGAGCCGCUGACCCCACGGCUCCGCUCUGCCAGAGCCGGCGGCCCAGGUUUAACAAAAGUGGAGGAGGGAGGACGCCCGCUCCCCAGGACCGCGAGUUCCCGCACGAUCUGACGCAGGAAAAAUUCGCGCGCGUAGUCGGCAGGACUCGAACCUGCGCGGGGAGACCCCAAUGGAUUUCUAGUCCAUCGCCUUCACCACUCGGCCACGACUACCCGGCUCCCGGCGCUUUCUACCCCGGCAUGGACGAGAAGGCGCAUCUCCCGCGUAACCCUCACGGAGCGCACAGGGAUGCGGGGGCGGGGGACCGUGCGGGAGCCGUCUGGGCGGGGCCAGGGCGGUGAGGCGGGGAUGGGGCGGGGCCUGGGCGGUGGGGCGGGGCCUGGG
This 1210-nucleotide transfer RNA is filed under the name Oryctolagus cuniculus (rabbit). Its description in RNAcentral is "lncRNA (ENSOCUG00000033869.1)". Lineage: Eukaryota; Metazoa; Chordata; Mammalia; Lagomorpha; Leporidae. The record is from RNAcentral.